Peromyscus eremicus (cactus mouse) is the source of this 73-nucleotide non-coding RNA. The record is from the annotation of a RefSeq genome assembly. Lineage: Eukaryota; Metazoa; Chordata; Mammalia; Rodentia; Cricetidae.
GCCCAACUAGCUUAGUCGGUAGAGCAUGAGUCUCUCAAUUUCAGGACCAUGGGUUUGAGCCCCAUGUUGGGCA